AGUGAACGCUGGCGGUAGGCCUAACACAUGCAAGUCGAACGGCAGCACAGUAAGAGCUUGCUCUUACGGGUGGCGAGUGGCGGACGGGUGAGGAAUACAUCGGAAUCUACUUUUUCGUGGGGGAUAACGUAGGGACACUUACGCUAAUACCGCAUACGACCUACGGGUGAAAGCAGGGGAUCUUCGCACCUUGCGCGAUUGAAUGAGCCGAUGUCGGAUUAGCUAGUUGGCGGGGUAAAGGCCCACCAAGGCGACGAUCCGUAGCUGGUCUGAGAGGAUGAUCAGCCACACUGGAACUGAGACACGGUCCAGACUCCUACGGGAGGCAGCAGUGGGGAAUAUUGGACAAUGGGCGCAAGCCUGAUCCAGCCAUACCGCGUGAGUGAAGAAGGCCUUCGGGUUGUAAAGCCCUUUUGUUGGGAAAGAAAAGCAGCAGGUUAAUACCCCGCUGUUCUGACGGUACCCAAAGAAUAAGCACCGGCUAACUUCGUG
RNAcentral lists this ribosomal RNA (492 nucleotides) under uncultured bacterium. RNAcentral's name for it is "partial 16S ribosomal RNA". It matches the Rfam family "Bacterial small subunit ribosomal RNA", at positions 29 to 507 of the family's 1533-position model. The record is from RNAcentral.